UCUCAUCGUUUAUCAGAUCUCCUUCCUUUCUCUCCUUAAAGAAUGGCGAUAAACCUCAAAUUUGGUGAAAAUAUGCGCUCAAAUGCCUAUCCUUUCAAAUUCCGAUCAACAUAUUGCGAAAAUACUCAGAUCAAGAAAUAUAAGGUUAAUCUCUCGCCUUACCCUCUCUCAUCUUUUCUAAUUUAACUAAUUCAACUCAGAUUAAGGGUUUUAUGUAAAUUACGCGCAAGUUUUUUUUUCUGAUUGGAAUGGGUAUUUAGGAUUUAAUUUAGCGAUUAAUUGUUGAUUAACUAACUGAUUUUUUUGUUUGCAUUUUUUGGUUUGCAUGUCGUAUCAAUGUGGAGGGUAAGGUCGCUGGCGUGGCGGUGGAGAAGCGAUGGCGAGGCGAGGCGCGGGGCGAAGCGAUGGCGAGGCGCGGGGCGAGGCGAUGGCGAGGCGAGGCGAUGGACAAUGAGUCCCUCUAUUGGUUGGAGAGGAAGGUGCACAGAUGUUGGGCAAGACGCGUGAUGGGCGAUGGGCGAGGCGGGGAAGGCGAUGGGCGAGGCGACCGAGGCGCUGGUCAGGUUAUAAUUUGUUUAAAUUGGAGGAUUCAUACGAAAAGUGUACUUACAUGUGGGAGCGACUUCAAGAAGAAACAAUGGUGAUGUGGUUCUUUUGAGAACGGAUUUCUUCUGGGAAUCAGCGCGGUAGUAGAUUUGCAUUAAGGGAGAGGUUUCUUGUUUUAUGGUUUCUGGAAUUUUUCUUCUGAUUUCUGGUUUAGGAUCUGGUUUAUGGAGGUUUUUUGUUUUCAGGGCUUCUGCAGUUAAUUAGAAAAAUUUAUUCUUUUAGAUUUGUAAUAUUUUUCGUUUCAUUUGGUAACUGCAAUAAGUGUAAUAUUUUAUUUUCCUUAUCUGUUUUUCGUUUCAUUUGGUAACUGCAGUAGUUGUAAUAUUUUAUUUUCCUUAUUUUCAUUUAUUUCCUGAUUUAAUCAAUCAAUCAACAUCAGCUUUGGUAAUUGAGAUAAAAAGGAUUGAUUUUGGGCGUCACUUAAGGUCUGGGGUGCAAUUAAACUGUAGAACUGCGUUGGGGUAUUUUAGUCUUUUAACUGGGGGACACGAAAAGCC
Molecule: long non-coding RNA, 1103 nt
Organism: Spinacia oleracea (spinach)
Lineage: Eukaryota; Viridiplantae; Streptophyta; Magnoliopsida; Caryophyllales; Amaranthaceae
Exons: 3
Source: RefSeq, a predicted model, not a curated record